GGAUGGAAUAUUGGGACAAUGGGUGAGAGCCUGAUCCAGCCAUCCCGCGUGAAGGAUGACGGCCCUAUGGGUUGUAAACUUCUUUUGUAUAGGGAUAAACCUAGAUACGUGUAUCUAGCUGAAGGUACUAUACGAAUAAGCACCGGCUAACUCCGUGCCAGCAGCCGCGGUAAUUGAAAG
This 180-nucleotide ribosomal RNA is filed under the name uncultured bacterium. RNAcentral's name for it is "partial 16S ribosomal RNA". It matches the Rfam family "Bacterial small subunit ribosomal RNA", at positions 354 to 530 of the family's 1533-position model. The record is from RNAcentral.